CGCGCGCGCGCGCUCGUCCCGGCGGCGCUCUCCUCCUUGCUGCGCCGCAAGGAGCCGGCCAGAGCCGGGCCCGAUCCCCGCGCCCUGCACCGGUUCCCGUGCCAGGGGCUCAGCCCUGCACGCUGCCCCCCGGCGCAAACCAGUCGGCCACGUGCAUGCUCCCCGUUCAGUCGUGGGGCCGGGACAAGACGGCUGCUCCGCAGCUCACAGCGGCUGUUCGCAGGAAGGAAGGGGGGGGCGGUGGGGUGGGUGCAGCUUUGCCGGGUGCCCGGUCCCUCAACCUCAGCUGGCCAUUGUACUUCGGCAGCUCAGGCACCCGGCAGCAGAACCCUGGGUCUUCAUUUCAUCCUGGAUCGGUCAAAGAGGAAGGGCUUCCGUGAUGAAAUUAUGGUUGACAAUCUGGACAGGGCCAACAAGCAGGUGCAAUCUCAAAGAGGGAAGGAUUCAUGGCAAGUUGAAAGCACAGGCAGGCUGCAGAGCUUGAGGACAAAAUGGCAGCGCGGGAGCUGACAUGUGCAUCUUGGUUCCUGAAACAGGAACGUGAGUUGAGUGGGGAAGACAGAGUGCAGUGGAAAGUCCCUGUUUGAGAGGCUGCUUUCACUAGUGACCACUAGAGUGCAGGAUCCUGCCUCAUCCACUCCACAGCCUGAGUCCCCUCCACGGUACCGUGCGCCGCAGACCAGGAGCGCUUUGGACAAUUCCUUGCUUGGCAGGUGGCCCAUGCAACUGGCACUUAGCAGCUGGACAGGGCAAAUCUACCCCCUGCAGUCCUCCACCCCGAUCCAGGCCCCAUUCCCUCUGCACACGUCCACCCCUAUGCUGACCGCCCUCCCCCCUGCAGAACUCCACCCCCAAGCAGUGGCAGCCAGCGCAUGCUCAACACACAUGACUGAGAAAGCAGAACAUGCCAGAGGACACACAAACUUAGGGGAUUGUUUUGGUGGCAUUGGUUUCACUGUUUACGCCAUGCAGUGUUUGGUUUAUGCACUUUGUUUUAUUACUGGUUUUGUGCUGGUUUAAUAUAUGCACACAUAGCAUUGGCAGGCAGGCCAGCUGCCGUCAGAACACCAAAACAGCACCAUCACUCCCCCGGAAUACAUCCAUGUUCACAAAUAAAGGCUUUUAUUUAAUUAAGAAAAUUAAUUGCCAUUAUUACAUCACAUCAUAUAACAUGUACAGGAACUCCUCACUUAAAGUCGUCCCGGUUGACGUUCUUUCGUUGUUACGUUGCUGAUCAAUUAGGGAACGUGCUCUUUUAAAGUUGCGUAAUGCUCCCUUCUAACGUUGUUUGACAGCUGCUUGCUUUGUCCACUGCUUUCAGGAAGAGCAGCCUUUGGAGCUCGCUGGUGGGGCCUUGGAAUCAGGGUGGACCGGAAGCCCCCUUAUCAGCUCCCCUAAGUUCCCUGGGGGGCAGCCGCUCAGCAGGCUAUCAAUUGCCAGGCACUUCAACUGUCCCUCCCCCCACUGCCAUGUGCUGCUCCUGCCCUCUGCCUUGGAGCUGCUCCUGGGGGCCUCCUGCUUGCUGUGCAGGGGGAGGGGUGGGAAGAGGGGGGCUAAUGUCAGGGUGUCCCCUCCCCUCGCUCCUGUCCCCCACUCCUUUACCCCAUCUUCAUAGAGCAUGGGGGUGGGGACACGACAGGGCUCAGGAUGGAGGGAGCUUGGUGGCAGCAGCUGCUGUCUCAACUUGCUGAUCUACUAAAAAGGCAGUGUACUUAGGGUGGGGUCAAUGUACUUAAAGGGGCAACGCGCGUGUCUCUCUCUCUCUCUCACACACACAGUGUGUGUCUCUGCUUCUCUCUGCCAUGCUGUCUCCCCUCCCUCCAUUCGUGCCACCUUGUAGAGUGUGAGGCUAUUAACAACAAUGUUGAGGGCUCAGCCGACUGUUAGUUCCUCAUUUAGCAGUAAGACAUCCCCUGAGAAAUAUCCCACCCUCUGACUCCACCACCUCAACCAAGCUUCACAAUCAUCAUUGCUGUGUACAGGAUUAAAUUGUUUGUUUAAAACUUA
Molecule: long non-coding RNA, 2007 nt
Organism: Caretta caretta (loggerhead turtle)
Lineage: Eukaryota; Metazoa; Chordata; Testudines; Cheloniidae
Source: RefSeq, a predicted model, not a curated record